Molecule: unclassified non-coding RNA, 226 nt
Filed under: Mortierella sp.
Lineage: Eukaryota; Fungi; Mortierellomycota; Mortierellomycetes; Mortierellales; Mortierellaceae
Description: partial contains small subunit ribosomal RNA, internal transcribed spacer 1, and 5.8S ribosomal RNA
Rfam family: Eukaryotic small subunit ribosomal RNA (bases 1-46)
Source: RNAcentral
AAGUCGUGACAAGGUUUCCGUAGGUGAACCUGCGGAAGGAUCAUUCAUAGUAGGAGUUUUACUGCAAUUUUUAAACAAGUACUCACCUUGUGGGCAAUGUUUGCUGCUGCGUCGUUUACGCGUCGUGCCAACACAAUACCAACCUUUUAUUUAAACAAUUUUGUCCGAAGAUAUUUUGAAUAACUAAUUCUAAAUACAACUUUCAACAACGGUUCUCCUGGCUCUC